RNA transcript from Leptopilina heterotoma, 3737 nucleotides. It is a transcript of the gene named facilitated trehalose transporter Tret1-like, with no coding region annotated. The record is from RefSeq and is a predicted model, not a curated record. The transcript has 3 exons. Lineage: Eukaryota; Metazoa; Arthropoda; Insecta; Hymenoptera; Figitidae.
ACCAAACAACUAAAUUUGUAAGAAAAACUAAAUUGCAAAUUUCAAAUGCAAAAAAGUGAAAUAUGAAAUAACUGUGAAAAGGAAAAUUCUUUAUGUAGUAAAUUGAAAAAAUAAUUUUCGAUUUCGAAAAGACAAAAUUUCGAUGAGGCGAAAUUGUUUUGAAAAAAAUAAUGCCGAAGAAUAAGGAAAAUCAUGCAUUACUGCAGUAUACGGCUGCGUUCACAGCCUCCAUCACCGCAAUUGGAUUUGUCUGCGGCUACUCUUGGCCAUCACCAGCUCUACCCUAUUUAUUAAGCAAAUCAUCAAUAAUUCCCAUAACAAAAAAUCAAAGUGCCUGGAUUGCCUCUCUCUAUCCUCUCGGCCUAAUAAUCGGCUACCUUCUAAAUCCCCUAUUUGUCGAUCGAAUCGGACGUAAACGAACCCUCCUCCUCUUCUCUCUACCACAAGUCGCCUCAUGGCUUCUAAUAAUAUUCGCCAAAAACACACUAAAUCUCUACAUAGCAAGAGUAAUCGGCGGAAUUGGUUACGGUGCCGGAAUAUCAUCAUCAACCGUCUACAUCUCCGAAAUCGGCAACGUCAAAAAUCGUGGCAUAUUUCUCGUCCUUCUAAAAUGCAUGAUGAACUUAGGUUUCCUCUUCACCAUGAUUUUAGGAGCAUUUUUAAACUAUCAAAACAUGAAUCUCGUCCUACUAACAAUGCCGAUAAUUUUUGUCCUUGCAUUCAGCUUUCUACCAGAUUCAUCCUACUUUCGUGAUAUCAAUCGUAGAAAAGAGGAGCAGGAAAAGAGAGACAACGCGACUGUUAAAUUGAAACUUUUACGCGAGGAGGAGGAAAAUAUCGAUAGAAUUAAAUUUGAUACUUUUAUCGUUAAGACAAAAGUUGACCACAUUCGAAAAGAGGACAACGAAGGAAACGUUGUGGCCAAUGCAAAUGGUGACAAUUUAUCAUCUACCGGACAAAAUAGAGAACAAACCACUGGAGGUACUUUCGAACUACGAGGAGUAAAAACCGAAAUAGAAACCACCAAAGGUACUUUUGAACCUAGAGAAGUAAAAAACGCAGAUGGUACAUUUGAACCUAGAGGAGUAACAACAACGGAAGAUACUUUUGAACCACGAGAUGUAAAAACCGUGAAACAAACCACCAAAAGUACUUUUGAAACAAAAGUAGUAAAAACUGAGAAACAAGCAAAAAAAUCCACUCUAAGAAACAACAUUUUUUGCAAAUUGUACUCAGAACAAAAUUACCGUCGAGCAUUGGAAAUAAUGCUGACAAUGGGCCUGACCAACAUUCUUUCUGGCCACGCUGGAAUAACAACAUUCACACAACAAAUUUUCACGUACGAAGGAGCAUUUCUGGCACCUGAGAAAGCGUCAGUGGCACUUGCACUGAUAACCCUGAUUAUUUCCCUCCUGAGUACAAUAAUUGUCGAGAGAAUAAGAAGAAAAUUUUUAAUCGCCUCAACGGGUGUAAUUGCAACAAUUGCCCUUCUUUUUGUUGGUGUUUUCUUCUACUGCCAAGAGUCAAAAAUGAAUGUCGAUGUAUUUAAAUGGGUACCACUGGUUGGUAUCACAACUUAUGAUGUUAUGCUCUCGUGUGGAAUGGGUAAUGUUUUUUAUGUUUAUCAGGGUGAAUUGUUUGCGCACGAAGUGAAAAGUGAAUCGAUUGCAUUCAAUAAAAUAAGUUAUAUGACAUUGAGUUUUUUGUUUUUGUUACAAUUUCAAAAUUUUAUCGAUGCAGUGGGUACGUAUUGGGCAUUUUUUUCAUUUGCAUUUGGUAUUUUCUUUGGUACGUUUAGUGUUUAUAUUCUUACACCGGAAACAAAGGGGGUUAAUCUUGAUGAUAUUCAAGUUUUAUUGAAGUCGAAGAAAUUUUUUUAUUGAUUUUUUUUUAAUUUUUAGGAGAAAGAAGAAGGCAAAAAAGAGUCUUAAAAAAGCCAAAAGGGACCGUCCAUAAAAUACGUAAGGCAUUUUUCUUAAAUUUUGACCCAUGCACCCACGUCUGUAAGGCUCCGUAAGAUUUUGAACCACCCACCCCACCCCCUAUCUUACGUAAGUUUUUGCUUAGGUAUUUAUUACGAGAAUUUACUAGUAGCAUUGCAAAAAAUUGUUUAACUAAUAAAAUGAAUUAAUAAACAAAUGUUUGGUGUUUAGUGUAUAGUUCUGUAUUUCUUAGAAUAUACUUAAUUUAUAUAAAAUUUAUUAAACAUAUUUUACUUUGGUCAAAAUAAUAAAUAUUAAUGUAGAAAUUUAGCUUAAUAUUAACAUCUUUGGCAUUGGGACGCGUCGCGUCUUCGUUGCGUUUUGGCUCAUUCUGGAACGACCCUAUCAUAGCUUGACAAUUUCCGAAAUUUAUAGAGUAGUGUAAGAAAAUAUAUCUUACGUAAGAAAUUCGUUUAACCAGGUACCCACCCAUGUAAGUUAACAUAGAAAAAUUGUCCACCCCCCCCCCCACCCAAAUGACCUUACGUAAUUUAUGGACGGCCCCAAAACAAAGACAACAAAAAAGAAAAAAACGCAAAAAAUAGUAAAACAUGAAUUUUAAAAAAUAGAAAAAAAAGGUUUAUAAAAAAAUGUUUUGACUUAAAUUGUAUAGAAAUUAUAGAUGAAAUUAAAUUCUUUUAAUAAAAAAUAUAUUUUUACAAUAGAAACUAAAAUAUUCAAUCUACUUCAAAAUAGAAAAUAAUUCAAAUUAAUACAGAAUCAUUCGAAUAUGAUGUCAGUUUUUAAAAAUUCAAAAUCGCGGAUCCAAUAUUAGAAAACGCCAUAUUGGAUCCACCAUUUUAAAUUUUUAAAAUCUGACUAGAGUGCAGACACUGCAUAUCUAUAGUUUAACUAAUUUUUUAUUUAUUCAUAACAAAAAAAUUUUUUUAUUGAAGAAAUUGUUUUUAUUUAACAUAAAUAACGUAGAUCUGAAACUCUGAAACGAAAUUUUAAUAUUUAUGUGAAUAAAAUGAAAAAAUCUGUAGUCGUGGAUAUCCGUAUUAACACAAGGGUUAAUGGUUAUAAAUGUAAUUUGACAGAAUGUUUACUUUAACAAAUAUUAAUUGCAAAUAAUGUUUUUAUACUCCAAUAAACACUUUUUUUAAGGUUAAAAAAUCAUGAUUUUGAUCUAAAAACAUUGAUUAUCGCUUAUUUUUACUAUAAUUAACGUUUUCACCACACGCUUUCAAACUAAUAACCUCCAAAUUUCAGACACUAUAAUUAUUAAAUAAGGUCGAGAAAUUUUAUUAAAAUUAUAUUCAAAACAAUUGAAUUCCUGCGAAAAAUGUCUGUACAAAGAAUAAUAAAUCAGUUUCAAAAAUUUUGUUUCUUAAUAUAUGAUUUUUAUAAAUACUAUAGGUUUACGUUCAGAUAAAUUAAAUUUGAGCCAAGAAGAUUUGAGCUUAAAUGAAUAAGAUGAAUUACAGAAUUCAGAGGAUUAAAAAUUUUGACGAUUUAAUUUUAGAGUUAAUUAAGAUUUUAAUCGAUCAAACGUUUAAUUAACAUUGAAUUAUUUGCUAUAGAAAAAGAAAAUUUUGUAAAUUCUCUACUCGAGGCAAGAAUUUAAUGGAAUUAUUUUCUAUUAAAAAAAAUUCAAUUAAUUUUUCUUAGAGAGACGUGAAUGGAAUUGAGUCUAAUCGAAUUUAAUUUUUUUUAUAAUAAAUGUUUAAUUAAUUUUUCUCUAGAGGUAUGAAGUGGAUUAAUUUGAAUUAUUUAACUAUAAAAAAAAGAACAAUUAUUUUUCCUUUGAGCGAU